This 466-nucleotide ribosomal RNA is filed under the name uncultured bacterium. RNAcentral describes it as "partial 16S ribosomal RNA". It matches the Rfam family "Bacterial small subunit ribosomal RNA", at positions 28 to 507 of the family's 1533-position model. The record is from RNAcentral.
GAUGAACGCUGGCGGCGUGCUUAACACAUGCAAGUCGAACGAUGAAGCCCAGCUUGCUGGGUGGAUUAGUGGCGAACGGGUGAGUAACACGUGAGUAACCUGCCCUUAACUCUGGGAUAAGCCUGGGAAACUGGGUCUAAUACCGGAUAGGAGCGUCCACCGCAUGGUGGGUGUUGGAAAGAUUUAUCGGUUUUGGAUGGACUCGCGGCCUAUCAGCUUGUUGGUGAGGUAAUGGCUCACCAAGGCGACGACGGGUAGCCGGCCUGAGAGGGUGACCGGCCACUCUGGGACUGAGACACGGCCCAGACUCCUACGGGAGGCAGCAGUGGGGAAUAUUGCACAAUGGGCGCAAGCCUGAUGCAGCGACGCCGCGUGAGGGAUGACGGCCUUCGGGCUGUAAACCUCUUUCAGUAGGGAAGAAGCGAAAGUGACGGUACCUGCAGAAGAAGCACCGGCUAACUACGUG